CAUACUCGGGACGGCUCGGCUCUACUUGGUGAUGGCGUAGAUGGCGUAGAUGAUGCCCGGGAUGUAGCCGAGGAAGGUGAGCAGGAGGCAGAUCCAGAACUCGUGCUGCAAGAAAGAAAGCAAGAAACAAUUAUCAGUAAUUCCAUCCAUACAUGUCCCCAUCCAUCAACCCAUGCAUCCAUCAACCUGUCGAUCGAGCAGAGCCAGAAAGGGGAAGACGGAAGAAGGGAGAAAGAGGAAAGAAUCCGAUGCUUUUGCUUACCCCGCAUCCGAACUUGAGGAAGACGCCGAGGGGCGGGAGGAUGAUGGCGAGGAUGAUGUCGAUGCAGUUGGCCGUGCCCGCCAUGGUCGAUCCUUCGGCGGACGGAGAGCUUUUUUCACUCGGUGGAUGGAGGGGAGGCAGCAGAGCUGAUCUGAGCAGAGCAGAGCAGAG
This 433-nucleotide long non-coding RNA is filed under the name Hordeum vulgare. Its description in RNAcentral is "long non-coding RNA (HVUL_LNC000482)". Lineage: Eukaryota; Viridiplantae; Streptophyta; Magnoliopsida; Poales; Poaceae. The record is from RNAcentral.